This 155-nucleotide ribosomal RNA is filed under the name Pichia membranifaciens. Its description in RNAcentral is "5.8S ribosomal RNA". It matches the Rfam family "5.8S ribosomal RNA". From Rfam's summary of the family: 5.8S ribosomal RNA (5.8S rRNA) is a component of the large subunit of the eukaryotic ribosome. It is transcribed by RNA polymerase I as part of the 45S precursor that also contains 18S and 28S rRNA. Lineage: Eukaryota; Fungi; Ascomycota; Pichiomycetes; Pichiales; Pichiaceae. The record is from RNAcentral.
AACUUUCAACAACGGAUCUCUUGGUUCUCGCAUCGAUGAAGAGCGCAGCGAAAUGCGAUACCUAGUGUGAAUUGCAGCCAUCGUGAAUCAUCGAGUUCUUGAACGCACAUUGCGCCCGUCGGUAUUCCGGCGGGCAUGCCUGUCUGAGCGUCGUU